AGGCGGAAGGUCCUACUGCUGGAGAUGAAGAAGAAUCUGAGAAGUCAGUAUCUGAGGUGAAUGAUGAGGAUGAUGAUGAGGAGGGCAGUGGCGAGGUUUCUUUUUAUUCUUUUUUGCGUCAUUGCCUUGUGGUUUGUGGUAAUUAUUUGCAUGAUAUUUACUUGGUAUUGUUUAUUUCAUGCAGGAGGAGGAUGAUGAUUAGAGAGUGGACUGAUAACAAUUUAUGUAGGUUUUGAUGAUUUGGAUCAUCUUUUGUAGGUGGUCUGGUCAUUUCCUGAUGAUAAACAAACAUGUUUCUUUCUUCCAGAAAAAUAUUUCUCUGCUCCCUCCGUAAAAUUGUUUUGUCUGUCCAAAACGUGAAUAGUUGAAAGAUGGGAGAUCUUUAUUUGUACUUCUAAAUCCAACUGCUUAGUUAAGGGGUGCUUAUCUUUUGUAGAGCUUUUAGUUUGAUUUAGUUCUCUUGUUGAAAUCUGGUUAAGUUUGUAUGAAUAUAAUUGGCUUAUCUUCC
This 508-nucleotide long non-coding RNA is filed under the name Phaseolus vulgaris (common bean). RNAcentral describes it as "long non-coding RNA (PVUL_LNC000982)". The record is from RNAcentral. Lineage: Eukaryota; Viridiplantae; Streptophyta; Magnoliopsida; Fabales; Fabaceae.